UGAUCCGUGGUGUAAUGGCAGCACGUGAGACUUUGGUUCUGAAAGUCCCGGUUCGAGCCCGGGCGGAUCAA
Molecule: transfer RNA, 71 nt
Filed under: Alistipes sp.
Lineage: Bacteria; Pseudomonadati; Bacteroidota; Bacteroidia; Bacteroidales; Rikenellaceae
Description: tRNA-Gln
Rfam family: tRNA
About the family: Transfer RNA (tRNA) molecules are approximately 80 nucleotides in length.
Source: RNAcentral